AGAUUGAACGCUGGCGGCAGGCCUAACACAUGCAAGUCGAGCGGCAGCACGGGUACUUGUACCUGGUGGCGAGCGGCGGACGGGUGAGUAAUGCCUAGGAAUCUGCCUGGUAGUGGGGGGAUAACGCUCGGAAACGGACGCUAAUACCGCAUACGUCCUACGGGAGAAAGCAGGGGACCUUCGGGCCUUGCGCUAUCAGAUGAGCCUAGGUCGGAUUAGCUAGUUGGUGAGGUAAUGGCUCACCAAGGCGACGAUCCGUAACUGGUCUGAGAGGAUGAUCAGUCACACUGGAACUGAGACACGGUCCAGACUCCGUACGGGAGCAGCAGUGGGGAAUAGUUGGACAAGUGGGCGAAAGCCUGGAUCCAGCCAUGCCGCGUGUGUGAAGAGUCUUAGGAUUGUAAAGCACGUUAAGUGGAAGAAGGCUAGUUACCUAAUACGUAU
This 444-nucleotide ribosomal RNA is filed under the name uncultured soil bacterium. RNAcentral describes it as "bacterial SSU rRNA". It matches the Rfam family "Bacterial small subunit ribosomal RNA", at positions 26 to 470 of the family's 1533-position model. The record is from RNAcentral.